This 541-nucleotide ribosomal RNA is filed under the name uncultured bacterium. Its description in RNAcentral is "bacterial SSU rRNA". It matches the Rfam family "Bacterial small subunit ribosomal RNA", at positions 355 to 896 of the family's 1533-position model. The record is from RNAcentral.
UGAGGAAUAUUGGUCAAUGGGCGAGAGCCUGAACCAGCCAAGUCGCGUGAAGGAUGACUGUCUUAUGGAUUGUAAACUUCUUUUGUAGGGGAAUAAAGAACGGUACGUGUACCGUAGUGAAUGUACCCUACGAAUAAGCAUCGGCUAACUCCGUGCCAGCAGCCGCGGUAAUACGGAGGAUGCGAGCGUUAUCCGGAUUUAUUGGGUUUAAAGGGUGCGUAGGCGGCCUGUUAAGUCAGCGGUGAAAUCUAGGAGCUUAACUCCUAAAUUGCCAUUGAUACUGGCGGGCUUGAGUGUAGAUGAGGUAGGCGGAAUGCGUGGUGUAGCGGUGGAAUGCAUAGAUAUCACGCAGAACUCCGAUUGCGAAGGCAGCUUACUAAGGUACAACUGACGCUGAAGCACGAAAGCGUGGGUAUCAAACAGGAUUAGAUACCCUGGUAGUCCACGCAGUAAACGAUGAUAACUGGGCGUAUGCGAUAUACAGUAUGCUCCUAAGCGAAAGCGUUAAGUUAUCCACCUGGGGAGUACGCCGGCAACGGUG